Molecule: ribosomal RNA, 460 nt
Filed under: uncultured Peptococcaceae bacterium
Lineage: Bacteria; Bacillati; Bacillota; Clostridia; Eubacteriales; Peptococcaceae
Description: bacterial SSU rRNA
Rfam family: Bacterial small subunit ribosomal RNA
Source: RNAcentral
ACGGGAGGCAGCAGUGGGGAAUCUUCCGCAAUGGGCGAAAGCCUGACGGAGCAAUGCCGCGUGAAUGAAGAAGGCCUUCGGGUUGUAAAAUUCUGUCCUUAUUGAAGAGAGAUCGAUGUGUAAAUAAUACAUUGAUAGGACGGUAGAUAAGGAGGAAGCCCCGGCUAACUACGUGCCAGCAGCCGCGGUAAUACGUAGGGGGCGAGCGUUGUCCGGAAUCACUGGGCGUAAAGGGCGCGUAGGCGGUCAUGUAAGUCAGAUGUGAAAUAUAGGGGCUCAACUCCUAGACUGCAUCUGAUACUGCAAGACUUGAGUGCAGAAGAGGAAAGUGGAAUUCCUAGUGUAGCGGUGAAAUGCGUAGAUAUUAGGAGGAACACCAGUGGCGAAGGCGACUUUCUGGGCUGUAACUGACGCUGAGGCGCGAAAGCGUGGGGAGCAAACAGGAUUAGAUACCCUGGUA